RNAcentral lists this unclassified non-coding RNA (335 nucleotides) under Ascomycota sp. RNAcentral's name for it is "partial contains small subunit ribosomal RNA, internal transcribed spacer 1, and 5.8S ribosomal RNA". The stretch from base 1 to 47 matches the Rfam family "Eukaryotic small subunit ribosomal RNA", at positions 1785 to 1831 of the family's 1831-position model. The record is from RNAcentral. Lineage: Eukaryota; Fungi; Ascomycota.
AAAGUCGUAACAAGGUCUCCGUUGGUGAACCAGCGGAGGGAUCAUUACCGAGUUUACAACUCCCAAACCCCCAUGUGAACCUUACCGACCCGUUGCCUCGGCGGGUGCCCCGGGCGCGUCGCAGCCCCGGACCAAGGCGCCCGCCGGAGGACCAACUUGGCAAACUCUCCUUCUCGUGGGGAGCCGACCACCCCUCGCGGGGCGGCGCGGCCCUCCCCCCCAUUCCUCCUCUGAGCGUCCCCCCUCGGCGCCCCCCCCCUCAGCGGGCGCGUCGGAGGGGACAAAAACAAAAACAAAACGAAUCAAAACUUUCAACAACGGAUCUCUUGGUUCUG